CAGGACCAGAAAAAAUGUCAACUCGUGCAAUGAUGUCAACUCCUGGUCCAGAAAUCCCGUCAACUCAUGACCUUGCGUGGACAGAGGGCGAGAUUCCUUGUACAAGGCAGAUGUGCAUGAUGGCCUGCGCUAGGGACAAUCAGGACAGAAUCGUCAUCGAUGCCGCCUGUGCUGGCUGGGGCCGGUGUACGUGCAAGUUUCAUCCUUGAACACCUGUGGGAUCAUCCGAAUGUACGACGCUACGCUGGGCAAUUAGUUAUAUCAUUAUUGACGGCUCAUGGCUCCAUGGCAAUGAGUAUUGGUGCUCAUAGUGCAUUAUUGCUAUGGAAUUAAAAGUGGCCUAAUACAG
Molecule: non-coding RNA, 349 nt
Organism: Dermacentor albipictus
Lineage: Eukaryota; Metazoa; Arthropoda; Arachnida; Ixodida; Ixodidae
Source: RefSeq, a predicted model, not a curated record